CCUACGGGUGGCAGCAGUAGGGAAUAUUGCUCAAUGGGGGAAACCCUGAAGCAGCAACGCCGCGUGGAGGAUGAAGGUUUUCGGAUUGUAAACUCCUUUUGUUAGAGAAGAUAAUGACGGUAUCUAACGAAUAAGCACCGGCUAACUCCGUGCCAGCAGCCGCGGUAAUACGGGGGGUGCAAGCGUUACUCGGAAUCACUGGGCGUAAAGAGGGCGUAGGCGGGAUAGCAAGUCAGAUGUGAAAUCCUAUGGCUUAACCAUAGAACUGCAUUUGAAACUGGUAUUCUAGAGUAUGGGAGAGGUAGGUGGAAUUCUUGGGGUAGGGGUAAAAUCCGUAGAGAUCAAGAGGAAUACUCAUUGCGAAGGCGACCUGCUAGAACAUAACUGACGCUGAUGCGCGAAAGCGUGGGGAGCAAACAGGAUUAGAUACCCGUGUAGUC
Molecule: ribosomal RNA, 440 nt
Filed under: uncultured bacterium
Lineage: Bacteria
Description: partial 16S ribosomal RNA
Rfam family: Bacterial small subunit ribosomal RNA
Source: RNAcentral